This 836-nucleotide ribosomal RNA is filed under the name uncultured bacterium. RNAcentral's name for it is "bacterial SSU rRNA". It matches the Rfam family "Bacterial small subunit ribosomal RNA", at positions 55 to 890 of the family's 1533-position model. The record is from RNAcentral.
AUGCAAGUCGAACGGAGUUUACAGGCAGAAGUUUUCGGAUGGAAGCUUGUAAACUUAGUGGCGGACGGGUGAGUAACACGUGAGCAACCUGCCUAUCAGAGGGGGAUAACGAUUGGAAACGAUCGCUAAUACCGCAUGACAUAGCGGAACCGCAUGGUUCUGUUAUCAAAGAUUUAUCGCUGAUAGAUGGGCUCGCGUCCGAUUAGAUAGUUGGUGGGGUAACGGCCUACCAAGUCGACGAUCGGUAGCCGGACUGAGAGGUCGAACGGCCACAUUGGGACUGAGACACGGCCCAGACUCCUACGGGAGGCAGCAGUGGGGGAUAUUGCACAAUGGGGGAAACCCUGAUGCAGCGACGCCGCGUGAGGGAAGACGGUCCUCUGGAUUGUAAACCUCUGUCUUCGGGGACGAAACGAGACGGUACCCGAGGAGGAAGCCACGGCUAACUACGUGCCAGCAGCCGCGGUAAUACGUAGGUGGCAAGCGUUGUCCGGAAUUACUGGGUGUAAAGGGAGCGUAGGCGGGCAGGCAAGUCAGGCGUGAAAUAUAUCGGCUCAACCGGUAACGGCGCUUGAAACUGCAGGUCUUGAGUGAAGUAGAGGUUGGCGGAAUUCCCAGUGUAGCGGUGAAAUGCGUAGAUAUUAGGAGGAACACCAGUGGCGAAGGCGGCCAACUGGGCUUUUACUGACGCUGAGGCUCGAAAGUGUGGGGAGCAAACAGGAUUAGAUACCCUGGUAGUCCACACCGUAAACGAUGAUUACUAGGUGUGGGGGGACUGACCCCUUCCGUGCCGGAGUUAACACAAUAAGUAAUCCACCUGGGGGAGUACGGCCGCA